Molecule: ribosomal RNA, 497 nt
Filed under: uncultured bacterium
Lineage: Bacteria
Description: partial 16S ribosomal RNA
Rfam family: Bacterial small subunit ribosomal RNA
Source: RNAcentral
GAUGAACGCUGGCGGCGUGCCUAAUACAUGCAAGUCGAGCGAACAGACGAGGAGCUUGCUCCUCUGACGUUAGCGGCGGACGGGUGAGUAACACGUGGAUAACCUACCUAUAAGACUGGGAUAACUUCGGGAAACCGGAGCUAAUACCGGAUAAUAUAUUGAACCGCAUGGUUCAAUAGUGAAAGACGGUUUUGCUGUCACUUAUAGAUGGAUCCGCGCCGCAUUAGCUAGUUGGUAAGGUAACGGCUUACCAAGGCGACGAUGCGUAGCCGACCUGAGAGGGUGAGCGCCCACACUGGAACUGAGACCCGGUCCAGCCCCCGACGGGGGGAAGAAGAAGGGAUUCUUCCGGAAUGGGCGAAAGCCGGACGGAGCAACGCCGAGUGAGUGAGGAAGGUCUUCGGAUCAAAAAACUCUGUUAUGAGGGAAAAAAAAAUGUGAAAGUAAAUAGGCACGUUUUGAGGGACCCUAAGCAGAAAGCCAGGCCAAACUCCGUC